Small nuclear RNA from Trifolium pratense (red clover), 103 nucleotides. NCBI's taxonomy places the organism in Eukaryota, Viridiplantae, Streptophyta, Magnoliopsida, Fabales, Fabaceae. The record is from RefSeq and is a predicted model, not a curated record.
GUUCUUUUGGGGAUAUCCGAUGAAAUUGGAACGAUUUAGAGAAGAUUAUUUUGACCUAUGCGCAAGGAUGAUAUGCAAAAAUCGAGAAAUCAUCCAUGCAAUU